AAUGCCUUAGUCAUUUCACGAUUAUGUCAUAUUUAGAUGAAGAUAAACGUCAUGAGGAGAAGUGACAUCUGCAAAACUAAACCUGGUGUAGGCGUUGAUUGAGAAACGUAAAUCGCUAAAUUCACGGAUAACAACAUGAUCUAUGCUUGUUAAAGAAUUUGUAGUCUCUCAUUCUCCAGAAUAAUGUAACGACAAUUUUCUCAGCAUAUGGCAGCUAAAGGUUAUUGUCAUUGACUAUUAAUGAGAUAUGGGAUCACAGAAGAAUAAGUGGUUUUGUGUUGAAGUUGUCAUCCCAGGUCUUAUUUUGGUUUACUGUUCUUGCAUUAAUUAUGCAUAGGUGAAAUGAGUUCAAUGCAGACGAACCGAGCCUCCCAAAUUCAACUGUACAAAGUAGGACUCAGCUUGUUCAAUGUUAUAGCUAGAUUAUUUCAACGCUUUUUUGCACUGUUGAGGUUGAUAUUCAGCUGAGAGCUUUGGAAUUUGUAUAAAUAUGAUGUGAUCCCCAGCCUGUUUGCGAAUUGCAGAAAGCAGAGGAAAUUCUACAAGCGUGCAAAGAUCUGCUUUGACAAGAAACCGAAGAAAGGUGUCGAAGAGUUCCACUAUUUGAGCUGGCAUCCAAAAUCCCAAGGAGGGGUUUGAUAAGGAACAAGAAAUCAAUCCCAAGAUGAUUAAAUCAGAGUCAAUGGAAAAUCUUAUAGAAUCCGACGAGAAGAUGAAGAGGAAGAAAGUUGUUUCAGGAAAUAUUUUCAUCCGAAGUUACGAAAACACUGGAAGACUGUUCUGGUAGCCACUUUACUGUUGCUGUUUGGGUUUGCUUUUCUAAUUUGUGGAAUACUCAUAAUAGUGCUGCUUCAUCCAAAAUACAAAACAGGAGAAGGUCCAAAUGGUUACAUUUUCUUCAUAUGUUCUGCAAUGUGUCUUAUUCCGGGAGUGUAUCACGUGGUGUACUUCGUACGAGCAGUCAAGGGACACAAGGGCUACACAAUGGAAGACGUCACACUCUUUCAUGAAUGACGUCAUAAUAUAUCGGGGAAGACGCCGCAAUGUUUCAAGAAUGACGUCACAAUAUAUCGGAAAGAGUUGCCUGUAACAAACUAAAUUUGUGAAUGAAAGAAAUACAUUUUAGAUAUGAAAUGCAGAAAGAUUUUCUCGAAUAACUGCUUUGAUAGAAAAACAUUGCACAAAGACUUAAGUUAACGUACCAAAAUUUUGUUUUAUGAUUUUAAUAGAGGAAAUUUUAGAAAUAUAUAUCUUUAUUCCAUCAAUACUGUACAGAAAUAUUUGCAAACUCUCUCUAAAUAAAAAAAUGUAGAGUACCUUUCUUGAAAAGAUCUCUUCCAAAAUGAGGUUAGAAGUCUAGUCAAGAGCUUUGAUGUUGACUGCUGAUUGACUUUGCAUUGCCUCAGAUUUAAGGCAACCAAUACACAGAUACACAGUGCCUCUCAAAAAGAAGAUUAUGACAAUCUGAUAUUCUGAUCGGGAAUCCAUUAAGCCUUAGGUGGCCAGCUUUCCUUCAACUGGUUUCUUUAUCUUGUAACAAAUUAUAACUGCUAAUAGCAGGUGUACAUUUUGCAUUAACUGGAGAAAUUCCUUGUGAUGAAUCCUUUCAAACUGGCGAUUGACAUCUGAAAGUCUAAAAUCAUAAUUUCACAUAAAAUCUUCUCAUCUGCAUCUAAGCAUGCUCUAAAUCUUUCAUGACGACUAAAAAUUGAACUUAAUAUCAACGAAUCCUUCUUCUUCAUAAUGUAUCAAGUUUUAAAAAACUGUUUUAUACCAAAAGGCCCAGAGCUCCAUAGUUGUAUUAUAUAUGGCCUAUUUUCUUGAAAAGGACUUACUUUGAUACACUAGCCCUGCUU
This is a non-coding RNA of Rhopilema esculentum, 1856 nucleotides long. The record is from RefSeq and is a predicted model, not a curated record. Lineage: Eukaryota; Metazoa; Cnidaria; Scyphozoa; Rhizostomeae; Rhizostomatidae.